UACGAAGGGGGCUAGCGUUGCUCGGAAUCACUGGGCGUAAAGCGCACGUAGGCGGCUUUCUAAGUCAGGGGUGAAAUCCUGGAGCUCAACUCCAGAACUGCCUUUGAUACUGGGGACCUUGAGUUCGGGAGAGGUGAGUGGAACUGCGAGUGUAGAGGUGAAAUUCGUAGAUAUUCGCAAGAACACCAGUGGCGAAGGCGGCUCACUGGCCCGAUACUGACGCUGAGGUGCGAAAGCGUGGGGAGCAAACAGG
This 253-nucleotide ribosomal RNA is filed under the name uncultured bacterium. RNAcentral's name for it is "partial 16S ribosomal RNA". It matches the Rfam family "Bacterial small subunit ribosomal RNA", at positions 524 to 776 of the family's 1533-position model. The record is from RNAcentral.